UUAAGCGACUAAGCGUACACGGUGGAUGCCCUGGCAGUCAGAGGCGAUGAAGGACGUGCUAAUCUGCGAUAAGCGUCGGUAAGGUGAUAUGAACCGUUAUAACCGGCGAUUUCCGAAUGGGGAAACCCAGUGUGUUUCGACACACUAUCAUUAACUGAAUCCAUAGGUUAAUGAGGCGAACCGGGGGAACUGAAACAUCUAAGUACCCCGAGGAAAAGAAAUCAACCGAGAUUCCCCCAGUAGCGGCGAGCGAACGGGGAGCAGCCCAGAGCCUGAAUCAGUGUGUGUGUUAGUGGAAGCGUCUGGAAAGGCGCGCGAUACAGGGUGACAGCCCCGUACACAAAAAUGCACAUGCUGUGAGCUCGAUGAGUAGGGCGGGACACGUGGUAUCCUGUCUGAAUAUGGGGGGACCAUCCUCCAAGGCUAAAUACUCCUGACUGACCGAUAGUGAACCAGUACCGUGAGGGAAAGGCGAAAAGAACCCCGGCGAGGGGAGUGAAAAAGAACCUGAAACCGUGUACGUACAAGCAGUGGGAGCACGCUUAGGCGUGUGACUGCGUACCUUUUGUAUAAUGGGUCAGCGACUUAUAUUCUGUAGCAAGGUUAACCGAAUAGGGGAGCCGAAGGGAAACCGAGUCUUAACUGGGCGUUAAGUUGCAGGGUAUAGACCCGAAACCCGGUGAUCUAGCCAUGGGCAGGUUGAAGGUUGGGUAACACUAACUGGAGGACCGAACCGACUAAUGUUGAAAAAUUAGCGGAUGACUUGUGGCUGGGGGGGAAAGGCCAAUCAAACCGGGAGAUAGCUGGUUCUCCCCGAAAGCUAUUUAGGUAGCGCCUCGUGAAUUCAUCUCCGGGGGUAGAGCACUGUUUCGGCAAGGGGGUCAUCCCGACUUACCAACCCGAUGCAAACUGCGAAUACCGGAGAAUGUUAUCACGGGAGACACACGGCGGGUGCUAACGUCCGUCGUGAAGAGGGAAACAACCCAGACCGCCAGCUAAGGUCCCAAAGUCAUGGUUAAGUGGGAAACGAUGUGGGAAGGCCCAGACAGCCAGGAUGUUGGCUUAGAAGCAGCCAUCAUUUAAAGAAAGCGUAAUAGCUCACUGGUCGAGUCGGCCUGCGCGGAAGAUGUAACGGGGCUAAACCAUGCACCGAAGCUGCGGCAGCGACGCUUAUGCGUUGUUGGGUAGGGGAGCGUUCUGUAAGCCUGCGAAGGUGUGCUGUGAGGCAUGCUGGAGGUAUCAGAAGUGCGAAUGCUGACAUAAGUAACGAUAAAGCGGGUGAAAAGCCCGCUCGCCGGAAGACCAAGGGUUCCUGUCCAACGUUAAUCGGGGCAGGGUGAGUCGACCCCUAAGGCGAGGCCGAAAGGCGUAGUCGAUGGGAAACAGGUUAAUAUUCCUGUACUUGGUGUUACUGCGAAGGGGGGACGGAGAAGGCUAUGUUGGCCGGGCGACGGUUGUCCCGGUUUAAGCGUGUAGGCUGGUUUUCCAGGCAAAUCCGGAAAAUCAAGGCUGAGGCGUGAUGACGAGGCACUACGGUGCUGAAGCAACAAAUGCCCUGCUUCCAGGAAAAGCCUCUAAGCAUCAGGUAACAUCAAAUCGUACCCCAAACCGACACAGGUGGUCAGGUAGAGAAUACCAAGGCGCUUGAGAGAACUCGGGUGAAGGAACUAGGCAAAAUGGUGCCGUAACUUCGGGAGAAGGCACGCUGAUAUGUAGGUGAAGUCCCUCGCGGAUGGAGCUGAAAUCAGUCGAAGAUACCAGCUGGCUGCAACUGUUUAUUAAAAACACAGCACUGUGCAAACACGAAAGUGGACGUAUACGGUGUGACGCCUGCCCGGUGCCGGAAGGUUAAUUGAUGGGGUCAGCGCAAGCGAAGCUCUUGAUCGAAGCCCCGGUAAACGGCGGCCGUAACUAUAACGGUCCUAAGGUAGCGAAAUUCCUUGUCGGGUAAGUUCCGACCUGCACGAAUGGCGUAAUGAUGGCCAGGCUGUCUCCACCCGAGACUCAGUGAAAUUGAACUCGCUGUGAAGAUGCAGUGUACCCGCGGCAAGACGGAAAGACCCCGUGAACCUUUACUAUAGCUUGACACUGAACAUUGAGCCUUGAUG
This 2108-nucleotide ribosomal RNA is filed under the name Escherichia coli. Its description in RNAcentral is "bacterial LSU rRNA". It matches the Rfam family "Bacterial large subunit ribosomal RNA", at positions 1 to 2136 of the family's 2925-position model. Lineage: Bacteria; Pseudomonadati; Pseudomonadota; Gammaproteobacteria; Enterobacterales; Enterobacteriaceae. The record is from RNAcentral.